GCAGACACAUCCCAGCCAAUCUGCAGCAGACCCUCCCUCCCAGACCCUCCCACCUCCUGGACAGCAUCCAUUUUGAAACUGCCUUCAAAAUGGAUGCUGUCCAGGAGGUGGGAGGGUCUGGGAGGGAGGGUCUGCUGCAGAUUGGCCGGGAUGUGUCUG
Molecule: microRNA precursor, 159 nt
Filed under: Pelobates cultripes (western spadefoot toad)
Lineage: Eukaryota; Metazoa; Chordata; Amphibia; Anura; Pelobatidae
Source: RNAcentral